UUUAAUAAUUAAUAUCUAAGAUUUUUUCUUAAACAAUAAUAAAUAAUUUAAAUAUCUAGAUUAUUUUAAUUGUAAUAGAUGCAUAUAAAUACAAAAGGGAAUUAAACAUUCUUACUAAAAAAGAAAAAGAUUGCAGAAACUAUCUCUCUCUUCUCUCGCUCGCUCACCUCCAUCUUCUCUGCGUUCACCACUUUUCUUUCAUCCCUCUCUUCGUCUUCAAAUCCCAACAGCAUACUAAGUGCUAGGAGCGGCGCAUCCAAGGCUCGAGGAGGACAACCGAAGCAAGCUUGAAGAGGUUUGAAUUCAAUCACUUAAGGUGGGGUUUACUUUUAUCUGUAAGCGUAGUUGUUACAUGGUUAUAAUCAUUGUUGUGUUGUGCGUCAUUCAUAUGAACUAAUAGGACCCACAAGGGGUCGGAUCCACAAGGGAUCAAAGAGCUGAACGGCCCACAAGGGGUCAGGUCCACAAGGGACCGAGACUAGUCUCACAAGAUGUCAGCUAAGUGAAAAAUUAUAAGAGUUCAACAUGUUAUGAUUCAUUACACAAUUGGUUAUAACUGCUUGCAGUGUUUACCCCACUGAGUGUGCUUGCACACUCAUACCCUAUUAUUUAUGAUUCUUUUCAGGUUAAGGAGUUGACGGCAAGACGGCAGACAUGGAGCUCCACAUUCUCCCGUUCUAUUAUAUGAUGAAGUAUUAUAUGUUGCUGUUUUUGGUAAAUAUAUCUUGCUACUAUCCAACUUAGCCUCUUCCAAUUUUGGUGGGUCGAGACUUUAUAUAUAUUGGUUUAUGAUCAUGCAUUUUGAUGACGGCUGUGACCGAAUAUAUAUAUUUUGUUUACCGUAUGUGUAGUUACGAGCUGUGCCUCGAACACGUUAAUUAUACUUUUAAACUUGAUGGUUUUGUAUGUACUCCAUCUUUUUAUAUAUAUAAAUAUGAUGCUUAGAUAAAGUUA
Molecule: long non-coding RNA, 954 nt
Organism: Salvia miltiorrhiza (redroot sage)
Lineage: Eukaryota; Viridiplantae; Streptophyta; Magnoliopsida; Lamiales; Lamiaceae
Exons: 2
Source: RefSeq, a predicted model, not a curated record